Long non-coding RNA from Carya illinoinensis, 720 nucleotides. RefSeq lists it as uncharacterized. The transcript has 2 exons. Lineage: Eukaryota; Viridiplantae; Streptophyta; Magnoliopsida; Fagales; Juglandaceae. The record is from RefSeq and is a predicted model, not a curated record.
AGGUAUCGAGUGAAGAUUCUUCUUCUUCACGUGUUACUCAUACUUUGAGAAACAAUCCAAUGUGCACUUGUGGGUCACCCGCCUCGCUUAGAACAUCGAAUACGCCAAGAAAUCCAGGUCGAUCAUUCUUUGGGUGUUCAAAGUAUAAUUCUUAGGGGUUACCACACUGCAAUUAUUUCAAAUGGGCAGAUAGUGAUAGCGGCCAUGAAAGAGAAAAAGAACUAGUUAAAAUAGAAAUUAACUCCUUAAGGAAUGAGGAAGAACUUCAGAAAACUAAGGCAGAGUUUCAGUUUCAACAAAUAGCCAAAGAGUUGCGAAGAAGAGAGGAAGAGGUUCAAAGAAGAGAGGAAGAGGUUCGAAAAAGAGAGGAAGAGGUUCGAAAUUGGAUGGAAGAGAUUCGAAAUUGGAUGGAAGAGGUUCGAAAAAGAGAUGGUGAAAUUGUCAAGAGGGACUUGGGAGUUGGCUGUCAAUGCAGAAAUAUAAAGCUCUAUCUUAUAAUUUGUAUAUUACUUUAUUUGUACUUCUCACGAUCACAGUGAAUACUCACUGAUUGUCAAACAUUUUGUAUAAAGCUUGAACUUGUGAAUUUGUGCUUUAGACUAGUAGUUAUGGAAAUGUGUAAGAAAUUAUUAGAACAAGUAGGCAACUGACAGAUCAUUCUGAUGAAACUGCUGAUUGUGUUUUUGAGCAAAAUGUGACUUGCAGCUCAUUUAGUUUGUU